GGGAAUUACUUGGUGGGGGUUUUAUGCCCGUUAUGAUUCCGUGUUCCAUGUUUUAUUACGAAUCUGUGUGCUUUUCUCUGUUUUAUAUUACUUAUGGGUGCCGUAUUUAUGUUAUGUAAUCUUGUGCUGUGCUUGACUAUGUGUUUGUGUGGUAUCUCGUGCCUUGAGCCGGGGGUCUAUCGGAAACAGCCUUUCAACUUCUUUAGAGGUAAAGGUAUGGACUGCGUACAUCUUACCCCCCCAUACCCCACUAGGUGGGAAUAUACUGGGUUUGUUGUUGUUUUGUGAAUUAUUCAUUUGUGUGAUUUGACCAUUUUACCCCCCUUCGUGAUUGCUUUGUGGUAUUUCUGGGGUGUGGAGAUGAUUGGCAUGAUUCCUAAUGCAUUUUGCUAUAAUUUGUGCAAGUUGGUGGUUUUUGGAGGUUAAAAGGGAUUUAUAGUUGACCUCGGUCAACAUUUGUUGUUGUGCGUUGUAAGGCAAAACGGACUAGGACGGUAGAUCCGAAACAUCGAUUUUAGGUUUAUAACAUGGUUGGUGUGGUUUUACAAAUUUUGUAUCUCAUUUGGACCCUCAGUAAAGUUAUGAAAUUAAGUUGCAAGGGUCAAUUUUGUGAAAACGAUAUUUUUUUCGAAAACCCGAUAUCAUCAUUGAGUCCGGAACGUCGAAUUUAGUUUAGUAGCAUAUCUCAUUUGUAUUCUAGGGAUUCCGAACGAAUCCCGGGGGCCCCACAUAAACUUGGAAAAGUUCCAAGUUUGCUGGUAUAUCACCAACUGAGGCAGUCGCUUAAACGGCCAGGAGGCCGCGUAAGCAGCCAUGUUUGAUCUACCCUAUGUCGCUUAAGCGACCAUGCUGACAGUAGCCAAUGCCGCUUAAGCGACUAUCUGGUCGCUUAAGAGAGCAAUGAUCGCUUAAGCCAGCCCAUCAUUUUUGAGACUUAGAGCUUCAGAUUUUAGAAUUUUUGGGUGAUUUCUUCCAUUUUCAAGUUUGGCUAAGCUCUAAAUCCCUAUUUCAAUUAUUUUUCUUCGAUUCUUGUCAUUUAAAGUUUGUUAAAACUCGAUUUCAAAAGCAGAAUAUGAGAAUGUUGGCCCAGAAGGCCUAAAUUAUUAUUUCUUCAAUUUAAACACCAAUUUCAACCCGUUUUCACUUGGAUUUUCUCCAAUGGCUUCCUUUAACCAUGGGUAACGCAUUUAUGAACUAAAAUUUCAAUUUUACCCUUCUUUCUCAAAAACUCAUUUCGUGGUUCCAUUUUUACCACAACUCAAAAAUAGGCAAUAUAGGUAUUGUCGACUUGCUUUUAACGCAUAGAUUCUAUAUUUGUAUGUUUUGGUUGAUUUCGAGUCCGUUCCUAAGGGGAAGGCUCCGUGUUGAAGGCGUUUGGACCGGAUUUUCUUCAUUCAAGGUAGGUUAUGGCUUAAUUUUCUUCAAACUGGGUUGGGAACUUAAUACUGAUAUGAAAACGUGUUACGGAUAUGGGAACUAAUCAUGAAAAUGGCUUUAUUAUUGUUUUGUUCCGGUGUAGGGGCCUAUGUUGUAAUUUGGUGCUUUGAGACAUUAUUUGUUGUGUGACCGUGUAGGGUCUUAUAUGAUGUUGGCCUGGUAUUUAUGGUAAUUGGUUGUACUCUUUUUGGUGGAUAUUACCUAAGUUUGGAUCUAUGUGGUAUAAAUGUCAUAUUAUUGCAUAUGGAGCACCAUGAUACCUCUCUAUAAGAAUAAGGGGGACAUCCAGAGUUGCAACAACUAUAGGGGGAUUAAGUUAUUGAGUCACUCUAUGAAGAUCUGGGAGAGAGUGGUCGAGGUGAGGCUGAGACGGAUAGUGUCUAUUUCAGAAAACCAGUUUGGAUUUAUGCCUGGCCGCUCGACGACGGAGGCAAUUCACCUGGUACGGAGGUUGGUGGAACAGUAUAGGGAGAGGAAGAAGGACCUGCACAUGGUAUUUAUCGACCUGGAGAAGGCCUAUGACAAAGUCCCCAGGGAGGUGCUUUGGAGAUGCUUGGAAGUGAGUGGAGUACGGCUGGCAUAUAUCAGAGCAAUCAAGGAUAUGUAUGAUGGAGCGAAAACUAAGGUGAGGACGGCGGGAGGAGACUCAGAACAUUUCACGGUCCGGACAGGGUUGCAUCAGGGAUCUACUCUUAGUCCCUUUUUGUUUGCAGUGGUGAUGGAUGUGUUGACGCGGCGUAUUCAAGGGGAGGUGCCGUGGUGUAUGCUUUUUGCAGACGAUGUAGUUUUGAUAGAUGAGACUUAAGGGGGUGUGAGUGACAAAUUAGAGGUGUGGAGGCAAACCUUUGAGUCUAAAGGGUUCAGGGUGAGCAGAAGCAAAACAGAGUAUGUCGAAUGCAAGUUUAAUGACGUGAGGCGGGAGAAUGAGGUAGUAGUGAAGCUGGAAUCACAGGAGGUAGGUAAGAGGGAGAGUUUCAAGUAUCUCGGGUCCGUGAUCCAGAGUAACGGUGAGAUUGACGAGGAUGUCUCGCACCGUAUUGGGGCGGGAUGGAUGAAGUGGAAGCUCGCGUCGGGGGUGCUGUGUGAUAAGAAGGUGCCGCCUAAGCUUAAAGGCAAAUUCUACAGGGCGGUAGUCCGUCCGGCCAUGUUGUAUGGAGCGGAGUGUUGGCCAGUGAAGAACUCCCACAUCCAAAAGAUGAGGGUGGCAGAAAUGCGGAUGUUGCGCUGGAUGUGUGGGCUGACUAGAGGGGAUAGAGUUCGGAAUGAGAACAUCCGGGAGAAGGUUGGUGUGACACCAGUGGAGUGCAAGAUGCGGGAAGCCCGAUUGAGAUGGUUCGGACACGUGAAGAGGAGGGGCAUGGAUGCCCCGGUCCGUAGGUGUGAGAGGCUAGCGUUGGAUGGGUUUAAGCGGGGUAGGGGUAGGCCGAAGAAGUACUGGGGUGAGGUGAUUAGGCGAGACAUGGAGCAGUUACAGCUCACCGGGGGUUUAUUCCUGUUAGGAGUCCAUGUCCCAUGUUUUAUUAUGAAGCUGUGUGCUUUCCUCUGUUUUAUAUUACUUAUGAGUGCCGUAUUUAUGUUAUGUAAUCUUGUAACCUUGUGGUGUGCUUUACUAUGUGUUUGUGUGGUACCGCGUGUCUCGAGCCGGGGGUCUAUCGGAAACAGCUUUUCUACUUCUUCAGAGGUAGAGGUAUGGACUGCGUACAUCCUACCCCCCCAGACCCCACCAGGUGGGAAUACACUGGGUUUGUUGUUGUUGUUGUUGUUGUUACUCUAUUGGUAUAUGGAUUAUAUUGGAUCAUGGAUGGUUGGCU
RNAcentral lists this long non-coding RNA (3248 nucleotides) under Capsicum annuum. RNAcentral describes it as "long non-coding RNA (CANN_LNC018974)". The record is from RNAcentral. Lineage: Eukaryota; Viridiplantae; Streptophyta; Magnoliopsida; Solanales; Solanaceae.